AGCUAGUUGGUGGGGUAAUGGCCUACCAAGGCGACGAUCAGUAGCUGGUCUGAGAGGAUGACCAGCCACACUGGGACUGAGACACGGCCCAGACUCCUACGGGAGGCAGCAGUGGGGAAUAUUGGACAAUGGGCGAAAGCCUGAUCCAGCCAUGCCGCGUGAGUGACGAAGGUCUUCGGAUUGUAAAGCUCUUUUACCAGGGACGAUAAUGACGGUAC
Molecule: ribosomal RNA, 218 nt
Filed under: uncultured bacterium
Lineage: Bacteria
Description: partial 16S ribosomal RNA
Rfam family: Bacterial small subunit ribosomal RNA
Source: RNAcentral